GGACACUUUCAGUUUCAUGAUCUUCUGUGUCUAGUACUCAGAGUUUCAGUACUUCUGUCCAGACCCAGUCAUGUUAGGAGUGUUCCAUGAUUGUUGCUUAGUGCUCCGUUCACUAAAGAGUGCUUUGGGGAACCUGAUAGGUCCAGAGGAUCUCAGCAGAUAGCUUGAGAGCUGGAAGGAAGUAAAAAUCUGAUCUCCUUGAGGAAUGCCUUUUAAGGGAGACCUUGUCUAAGCACACUGGCCAGAGACAGACUGGGGAGCCUGUGUGUCCACCAGCCCCUGGCUCUGCUGGUCGCU
RNAcentral lists this long non-coding RNA (297 nucleotides) under Bos taurus (domestic cattle). RNAcentral's name for it is "long non-coding RNA NONBTAT024832". The record is from RNAcentral. Lineage: Eukaryota; Metazoa; Chordata; Mammalia; Artiodactyla; Bovidae.